CACUCCUCCCCUGUGUGCCAGGUCCUGGGCUAGAAGCUGGCACAGGGGGGUGGGGAGCG
RNAcentral lists this non-coding RNA (59 nucleotides) under Sus scrofa (pig). The record is from RNAcentral. Lineage: Eukaryota; Metazoa; Chordata; Mammalia; Artiodactyla; Suidae.